GUAGCUGCCUUUACUCAAGGAUGUGCACGCCUUUCAAUCUUCAUCUCAACCCACCUGUGAACCUUUAGUAAACUGUGAUUGGCUUUCACUGAAAAUGUGGAUAGAGAGCUUGCUAACUGCUUGCUUUCAAUCAAUUGCAGUCUACUCAUUUAUACACACUUUAUUUAAACCUUUGAAUGUAUUGUUUUGGUUGUAAUGACCUAUAACAAAUUAAAUACAACUUUCAGCAACGGAUCUCUUGGCUCUCGCAUCGAUGAAGAACGCAGCGAAAUGCGAUAAGUAAUGUGAAUUGCAGAAUUCAGUGAAUCAUCGAAUCUUUGAACGCACCUUGCACCCUUUGGUAUUCCGAAGGGUAUGCCUGUUUGAGUGUCAUUAAAUUCUCAAUCCUUUAAAGCUUUAUUGAUUUAAAGGCAUUGGAUGUGGAGGUUUAUUGCUGGCUUUAUUUUAAGUUGGCUCCUCUUAAAUGCAUUAGUGGCUUCUUUGAAGGAUCCCCAUAUAAUGGUGUGAUAGUAUAUCUACAUCAUAUAAUGGCUAGGUCAUGUAAAAGAUUAAAGAAGUUGCUCUCUAACCGUCCUUCGUUGGACAACCUGAACCAUUUGACCUCAAAUCAGGUAGGACUACCCGC
RNAcentral lists this ribosomal RNA (625 nucleotides) under uncultured fungus. RNAcentral's name for it is "eukaryotic LSU rRNA". The stretch from base 219 to 372 matches the Rfam family "5.8S ribosomal RNA". Lineage: Eukaryota; Fungi. The record is from RNAcentral.